AAAGACGUUCUCAAUAAUGGACGUGUUUCUUGGGGUGUGGAUUUUUGUACACUUACUGAAAGGGUCUCUCACCAUCUCCUUGACCCCAUCCACAUACUCAGAGGUAAAGACUCCAGGCCAGUCUCUAAGCAUCACGUGUCACGGUUCAGGCUACACGUUUUCGAGCUACUGGAUUCACUGGGUGCGUCAGGCUCCUGGAAAGGGCUUGGAAUGGCUGGGAUAUGAUGGUAGCUCAAGCUAUGCAAACAGUGUGAAGGGUCGCCUGAACCUGAACAGAGACAGCUCCAACAGCAGGUCAUCUCUCACGCUGAAUGAUCUCAGAGCGGAGGAUACCGCUGUGUAUUACUGCGCCCGAGACUCACAGUGUGAGAGGGGAACAGGGCAGCUGCACACUAGAUUUCAUGAAAAAUCUGAAAUAAACUGGCAUCCCGCCCAGGGCAUAACCCAACCCGAGAUGGACCAGCACCCCGCCCAGGAUGUACCCCCACCUGAGAUGGACCGGCACCCCGCCCAGGAUGUACCCUCACCUGAGAUGGACCGGCAGCCCGCCCAGGAUGUACCCCCACCUGAGAUGGGCUCCAGACCCCCUGAGGCCCUGAUCAGGAUAAGCGGCUGGGAGAUGAAAGGAUGGAUUUCUUGA
Molecule: non-coding RNA, 640 nt
Organism: Paramormyrops kingsleyae
Lineage: Eukaryota; Metazoa; Chordata; Actinopteri; Osteoglossiformes; Mormyridae
Source: the annotation of a RefSeq genome assembly